Molecule: microRNA, 22 nt
Filed under: Homo sapiens (human)
Lineage: Eukaryota; Metazoa; Chordata; Mammalia; Primates; Hominidae
Description: Hsa-Mir-430-P38_3p* (star (passenger))
Source: RNAcentral
CAAAGCGCUUCCCUUUGGAGCG